UGGUUCUGGCAUCGAUGAAGAACGCAGCGAAAUGCGAUACGUAAUGUGAAUUGCAGAAUUCAGUGAAUCAUCGAAUCUUUGAACGCAUAUUGCGCCCGCUGGUAUUCCAGCGGGCAUGCCUGUUCGAGCGUCAUUUCAACCCUUAAGCCCUCGCUGCUUAGCGUUGGGAGCCUACCGCGGCCCGGCAACGGCCCGCUGUAGCUCCCCAAAGUUAGUGGCGGAGCCAGCCCGUGCUCUAGGCGUAGUAGAUUUCUCAUCUCGCCUCUGUAGCCGCGGGCGGGCCUCCUCGCCGUAAAACAACACCACUAUUUUUCAAUGGUUGACCUCGGAUCAGGUAGGAAUACCCGCUGA
This 351-nucleotide unclassified non-coding RNA is filed under the name uncultured fungus. Its description in RNAcentral is "partial contains 5.8S ribosomal RNA and internal transcribed spacer 2". The stretch from base 1 to 133 matches the Rfam family "5.8S ribosomal RNA", at positions 22 to 154 of the family's 154-position model. Lineage: Eukaryota; Fungi. The record is from RNAcentral.